This 681-nucleotide ribosomal RNA is filed under the name uncultured bacterium. RNAcentral describes it as "bacterial SSU rRNA". It matches the Rfam family "Bacterial small subunit ribosomal RNA", at positions 1 to 722 of the family's 1533-position model. The record is from RNAcentral.
UAGAGUUUGAUCCUGGCUCAGGAUGAACGCUGGCGGUAUGCCUAACACAUGCAAGUCGUACGAGAGUUUUUAACUCUAGUGGCGGACGGGUGAGUAACACGUGAGAAUUUGCCUUUAGGAGGGGGAUAACAAUUGGAAACGAAUGCUAAUACCCCAUAUGCUUUCGAGUGAAAUGGAUUUAUAUUUAUCCGCCUAGAGAGAAGCUCGCGGCUGAUUAGCUUGUUGGUAAGGUAAGAGCUUACCAAGGCGACGAUCAGUAUCUGGUUUGAGAGGACGAUCAGACACACUGGAACUGAGACACGGUCCAGACUCCUACGGGAGGCAGCAGUGGGGAAUUUUCCGCAAUGGGCGAAAGCCUGACGGAGCAAUACCGCGUGAGGGAAGACUGCCUAUGGGUUGUAAACCUCUUUUUUCAGGGAGGAAUCAAUGACGUGUACCUGAAGAAUAAGCAUCGGCUAACUCCGUGCCAGCAGCCGCGGUAAGACGGAGGAUGCAAGUGUUAUCCGGAAUCACUGGGCGUAAAGCGUCUGUAGGUGGUUUAAUAAGUCAACUGUUAAAUCUUGAGGCUCAACUUCAAAAUCGCAGUCGAAACUAUUAGACUAGAGUAUAGUAGAGGUAAAGGGAAUUUCCAGUGGAGCGGUGAAAUGCGUAGAUAUUGGAAAGAACACCGAUGGCGGAAGC